This 350-nucleotide long non-coding RNA is filed under the name Anser brachyrhynchus (Pink-footed goose). Its description in RNAcentral is "lncRNA (ENSABRG00000001182.1)". The record is from RNAcentral. Lineage: Eukaryota; Metazoa; Chordata; Aves; Anseriformes; Anatidae.
CUCUCAUCGGUCUUUGAGAAGUCUUUUCUGGGAAGAAGUUGCCAACAGCCUGUUCCCCAAAAUGGAAGGAGAUAGUGGAAUUAUAGACCACACAAAUUAACGUGAAUUCCUGGAAAAAUCCAGAGCAAAGAGUUAAAAUCUUGUUUCAAGCAGAUUUUCCAGGUUUUCUGGCAUAUACAAGUCACUUUUUAGGCUGACGAAUGGAUGUACAUUAAGUUCAAGGGCAGAUGAAGCAAGAGGAUGCUGUGUGACAUAUCUUCUCUUUUCUGGAAAUAAAGAUGAGGUACUGUCAGAAGCUGCAAUAUCAAUAGAGGACAUACUGGAGCAGAAGGCAAAAAUUAGAGAAUAAG